This 208-nucleotide ribosomal RNA is filed under the name uncultured bacterium. Its description in RNAcentral is "partial 16S ribosomal RNA". It matches the Rfam family "Bacterial small subunit ribosomal RNA", at positions 567 to 774 of the family's 1533-position model. The record is from RNAcentral.
GAGCGUAGGCGGCCUGGUAAGUGGGAAGUGAAAUCCUUCGGCUCAACCGAAGGCCUGCUUUCCAAACUGCUUGGCUUGAGUCCGGGAGGGGAGACGGGAAUUCCUGGUGUAGCGGUGAAAUGCGCAGAUAUCAGGAGGAACACCGGUGGCGAAGGCGCGUCUCUGGACCGGUACUGACGCUGAGGCUCGAAAGCGUGGGGAGCAAACA